GACGAACGCUGGCGGCGUGCCUAAUACAUGCCAGUCGAGCGAACAGACGAGGAGCUUGCUCCUCUGACGUUAGCGGCGGACGGGUGAGUAACACGUGGAUAACCUACCUAUAAGACUGGGAUAACUUCGGGAAACCGGAGCUAAUACCGGAUAAUAUAUUGAACCGCAUGGUUCAAUAGUGAAAGACGGUUUUGCUGUCACUUAUAGAUGGAUCCGCGCCGCAUUAGCUAGUUGGUAAGGUAACGGCUUACCAAGGCGACGAUGCGUAGCCGACCUGAGAGGGUGAUCGGCCACACUGGAACUGAGACACGGUCCAGACUCCUACGGGAGGCAGCAGUAGGGAAUCUUCCGCAAUGGGCGAAAGCCUGACGGAGCAACGCCGCGUGAGUGAUGAAGGUCUUCGGAUCGUAAAACUCUGUUAUUAGGGAAGAACAAAUGUGUAAGUAACUAUGCACGUCUUGACGGUACCUAAUCAGAAAGCCACGGCUAACUACGU
Molecule: ribosomal RNA, 496 nt
Filed under: uncultured bacterium
Lineage: Bacteria
Description: partial 16S ribosomal RNA
Rfam family: Bacterial small subunit ribosomal RNA
Source: RNAcentral